This 82-nucleotide transfer RNA is filed under the name Bacteroidaceae bacterium. RNAcentral's name for it is "tRNA-Leu". It matches the Rfam family "tRNA". Rfam says of the family: Transfer RNA (tRNA) molecules are approximately 80 nucleotides in length. Their secondary structure includes four short double-helical elements and three loops (D, anti-codon, and T loops). Further hydrogen bonds mediate the characteristic L-shaped molecular structure. tRNAs have two regions of fundamental functional importance: the anti-codon, which is responsible for specific mRNA codon recognition, and the 3' end, to which the tRNAs corresponding amino acid is attached (by aminoacyl-tRNA synthetases). tRNAs cope with the degeneracy of the genetic code in two manners: having more than one tRNA (with a specific anti-codon) for a particular amino acid; and 'wobble' base-pairing, i.e. permitting non-standard base-pairing at the 3rd anti-codon position. Lineage: Bacteria; Pseudomonadati; Bacteroidota; Bacteroidia; Bacteroidales; Bacteroidaceae. The record is from RNAcentral.
GCGGGCGUGGCGGAAUUGGCAGACGCGCUAGACUUAGGAUCUAGUAUCUUUCGAUGUGUAGGUUCAAGUCCUAUCGCCCGUA